RNAcentral lists this ribosomal RNA (475 nucleotides) under uncultured bacterium. RNAcentral's name for it is "SSU rRNA". It matches the Rfam family "Bacterial small subunit ribosomal RNA", at positions 26 to 518 of the family's 1533-position model. The record is from RNAcentral.
AGAGCGAACGCUGGCGGCAGGCUUAACACAUGCAAGUCGAGCGGAAAGGCCCUUCGGGGUACUCGAGCGGCGAACGGGUGAGUAACACGUGAGCAACCUGCCCUUAGCUCCGGGAUAGCUCCGGGAAACCGGAAUUAAUACCGGAUACGACCACGGCCGACAUCUGCUGUGGUGGAAAGGAUUCCGGCUAAGGAUGGGCUCGCGGCCUAUCAGCUAGUUGGUGGAGUAACGGCCCACCAAGGCGACGACGGGUAGCCGGCCUGAGAGGGCGACCGGCCACACUGGGACUGAGACACGGCCCAGACUCCUACGGGAGGCAGCAGUGGGGAAUAUUGCGCAAUGGGCGAAAGCCUGACGCAGCGACGCCGCGUGGGGGAUGAAGGCCUUCGGGUUGUAAACCCCGUUUCAGCAGGGACGAAGCGAAAGUGACGGUACCUGCAGAAGAAGCGCCGGCUAACUACGCGCCAGCAGCCGC